This 504-nucleotide ribosomal RNA is filed under the name uncultured bacterium. RNAcentral describes it as "partial 16S ribosomal RNA". It matches the Rfam family "Bacterial small subunit ribosomal RNA", at positions 28 to 523 of the family's 1533-position model. The record is from RNAcentral.
GAUGAACGCUAGCGGCAGGCCUAAUACAUGCAAGUCGAACGGGAUCCGAGGGUAGCUUGCUACCCGAUUUGAGAGUGGCGCACGGGUGCGUAACGCGUGAGCAACCUACCCAUAUCAGGGGGAUAGCCCGGAGAAAUUCGGAUUAAUACCGCAUAAGAAUGUAUUAACACAUGUUAAAGCAUUUAAAUAUUUAUAGGAUAUGGAUGGGCUCGCGUGACAUUAGCUAGUUGGUGAGGUAACGGCUCACCAAGGCGACGAUGUCUAGGGGCUCUGAGAGGAGAAUCCCCCACACUGGGACUGAGACACGGACCAGACUCCUACGGGAGGCAGCAGUAAGGAAUAUUGGUCAAUGGGCGAAAGCCUGAACCAGCCAUGCCGCGUGCAGGAUGACUGCCCUAUGGGUUGUAAACUGCUUUUGUCGAGGAAUAAACCUAUCUACGUGUAGCUAGUUGAACGUACUCGAAGAAUAAGGAUCGGCUAACUCCGUGCCAGCCGCCGCAGUAA